UGGGGAAUAUUGCACAAUGGGCGCAAGCCUGAUGCAGCCAUGCCGCGUGUAUGAAGAAGGCCUUCGGGUUGUAAAGUACUUUCAGCGGGGAGGAAGGGAGUAAAGUUAAUACCUUUGCUCAUUGACGUUACCCGCAGAAGAAGCACCGGCUAACUCCGUGCCAGCAGCCGCGGUAAUACGGAGGGUGCAAGCGUUAAUCGGAAUUACUGGGCGUAAAGCGCACGCAGGCGGUUUGUUAAGUCAGAUGUGAAAUCCCCGGGCUCAACCUGGGAACUGCAUCUGAUACUGGCAAGCUUGAGUCUCGUAGAGGGGGGUAGAAUUCCAGGUGUAGCGGUGAAAUGCGUAGAGAUCUGGAGGAAUACCGGUGGCGAAAGCGGCCCCCUGGACGAAGACUGACGCUCAGGUGCGAAAGCGUGGGGAGCAAACAGG
Molecule: ribosomal RNA, 429 nt
Filed under: Chloroflexota bacterium
Lineage: Bacteria; Bacillati; Chloroflexota
Description: Chloroflexi bacterium partial 16S ribosomal RNA
Rfam family: Bacterial small subunit ribosomal RNA
Source: RNAcentral